RNAcentral lists this ribosomal RNA (465 nucleotides) under uncultured bacterium. RNAcentral describes it as "partial 16S ribosomal RNA". It matches the Rfam family "Bacterial small subunit ribosomal RNA", at positions 28 to 507 of the family's 1533-position model. The record is from RNAcentral.
GACGAACGCUGGCGGCGUGCUUAACACAUGCAAGUCGAACGGAAAGGCCCUGCUUGCAGGGUACUCGAGUGGCGAACGGGUGAGUAACACGUGGGUGAUCUGCCCUGCACUUCGGGAUAAGCCUGGGAAACUGGGUCUAAUACCGGAUAGGAGCCAUUUUUAGUGUGAUGGUUGGAAAGUUUUUUCGGUGUAGGAUGAGCUCGCGGCCUAUCAGCUUGUUGGUGGGGUAAUGGCCUACCAAGGCGGCGACGGGUAGCCGGCCUGAGAGGGUGGACGGCCACAUUGGGACUGAGAGACGGCCCAGACUCCUACGGGAGGCAGCAGGGGGGAAUAUUGCACAAUGGGCGCAAGCCUGAUGCAGCGACGCCGCGGGGGGGAUGACGGCCUUCGGGUUGUAAACUCCUUUCGCGAGGGACGAAGCUUUUUGUGACGGUACCUAGAGAAGAAGCACCGGCUAACUACGUG